This 411-nucleotide ribosomal RNA is filed under the name uncultured bacterium. RNAcentral's name for it is "bacterial SSU rRNA". It matches the Rfam family "Bacterial small subunit ribosomal RNA", at positions 1 to 406 of the family's 1533-position model. The record is from RNAcentral.
CCCUUAGAGUUUGAUCCUGGCUCAGGAUGAACGCUAGAUACAGGCUUAACACAUGCAAGUCGAGGGGCAGCAUGAACUUAGCUUGCUAAGUUUGAUGGCGACCGGCGCACGGGUGAGUAACACGUAUCCAACCUGCCGAUGACUCGGGGAUAGCCUUUCGAAAGAAAGAUUAAUACCCGAUGGCAUAGUUCUUCCGCAUGGUGGAACUAUUAAAGAAUUUCGGUCAUCGAUGGGGAUGCGUUCCAUUAGGUUGUUGGCGGGGUAACGGCCCACCAAGCCUUCGAUGGAUAGGGGUUCUGAGAGGAAGGUCCCCCACAUUGGAACUGAGCCACGGUCCAAACUCCUACGGGAGGCAGCAGUGAGGAAUAUUGGUCAAUGGACGAGAGUCUGAACCAGCCAAGUAGCGUGAAG